AGGAAAAUGUGUUCUCAUACUUCUCAUAAAAAAAUCAGUUCGCAUAUCAAUGUGUACUUAGCUAUGUUUAAUCGCGGGUCGCGAGGUGUUAUCUAUAGUCAUAAAAGGUUAACAUCCAAAUUUUUUUGAUUAGUACACAACUGAUUUUUGUGAAGUGCAGUACCUAUUUACAACAAUGAAAGCCGCUUUGAUUAUUUCAUUGGCCUUGAUGGUGAUGGUCGCCGCUCAAGAGCCCGUGAACAUUGUGGACCCAGCCCUUUUUGAUCCGGCCUUUUCUCAACCCAGCAUCUACGACAGUAAGUAAAUAAUUUUGAAAAAUU
Ostrinia furnacalis (Asian corn borer) is the source of this 320-nucleotide long non-coding RNA. RefSeq lists it as uncharacterized. Lineage: Eukaryota; Metazoa; Arthropoda; Insecta; Lepidoptera; Crambidae. The transcript has 4 exons. The record is from RefSeq and is a predicted model, not a curated record.